This 210-nucleotide ribosomal RNA is filed under the name uncultured bacterium. RNAcentral describes it as "partial 16S ribosomal RNA". It matches the Rfam family "Bacterial small subunit ribosomal RNA", at positions 304 to 525 of the family's 1533-position model. The record is from RNAcentral.
UCGGCUUCCUACGGGAGGCAGCAGCCGCGGUAAUUGGCCUACGGGAGGCAGCAGUGGGGAAUUUUCCGCAAUGGGCGAAAGCCUGACGGAGCAAUACCGCUUGAGGGAUGACGGCCUAUGGGUUGUAAACCUCUUUUUUCUGGGAGGAACCAAAUGACGUUACCUGAAGAAUAAGCAUCGGCUAACUCCGUGCCAGCAGCCGCGGUAAUA